This 84-nucleotide ribosomal RNA is filed under the name Propithecus coquereli (Coquerel's sifaka). The record is from RNAcentral. Lineage: Eukaryota; Metazoa; Chordata; Mammalia; Primates; Indriidae.
UUCUAGCGCCACACCCCUCUGAACGCGCCCAAUCUCGUCUGAUCUUGGAAGCUAAACAGGCUCCAGCCUGGGUAGUACUCGGAC